Molecule: non-coding RNA, 671 nt
Filed under: Pongo abelii (Sumatran orangutan)
Lineage: Eukaryota; Metazoa; Chordata; Mammalia; Primates; Hominidae
Source: RNAcentral
GUUUGCAUCCAAGAGAGGGGAGGACAGGGGCAAAAGGAUGCAGGGAGGCUGCUGAUUUCCACUGGAGAGCUAAUUUCCUGUGAGAUAUUAACCGUGAUUUAAGAAAAAAAUUCCUGUAACUGGUAAGGAAACUGAGGUAUACAAGGAUGAACUUUUGCAAGGCUACAAAUCUAGUUAAUGGUGAAGCUAACAUUCAGACCCAAGUGGUUCAGCUCUAGACUUUGUCUCAGUUUCUGAAUUGAACUCUCUGUGCACUUACCAUGUGUCAUACCAGCUCUCAGUACAUAGUGUCCCAAAAGAUUGGGCCUGCUCUUUCUUUCAGAGACAAUUAGGAAAAAAGUAAACAAAUGGAGCAGGAUUUGGGCAUAACAGCAUGCUCCUCCCAUCCCCCAAAUCCCAGGAGUGUCACUGAGUAAUGUCUUACAAUAACAGAAUGCAGGAGAGCACAUAUCAAUGAAGAAAAGACAAAAUGUAUUUAUCCAUGAAGCUGAGGUUAAGAAACCAGUGUCUUCAAGAGCCGGGGACAGCACUGGGUCUGUGCAGAGUUGAGAGAUGGUGAUGACAUGUGGUUUCCAGCAUUCCUGGCCCAGUCCAGGGACACUGUGGGUGUGCCCAGCUUAAGUCCAGUAACUGGAAAUACAAGCCCAAGUUCUGGAGAGUUUGAGCUGCAG